AACUAUAACGGUCCUAAGGUAGCGAAAUUCCUUGUCAGGUAAGUUCUGACCCGCACGAAAGGUGUAACGAUUUGGGCGCUGUCUCGGCAGCAGACUCGGUGAAAUCUUAGUACCUGUGAAAAUGCAGGUUACCCGCAACUAGACGGAAAGACCCCAUGGAGCUUUACUGCAGCCUGAUAUUGAAUUCUGGUCAUACAUGUACAGGAUAGGUGGGAGACAAAGAGACGUGCACGCCAGUGUACGAGGAGUCGGCGUUGGGAUACCACUCUUGUGUGACCGGGGUUCUAACCUGGUAUCGAGAACAGGUACGGGGAGAGUGUCAGGUGGGCAGUUUGACUGGGGCGGUCGCCUCCCAAAGAGUAACGGAGGCGCCCAAAGGUACGCUCAGAUUGGAUGGAAACCAAUCGUCGAGUGCAAUUGCAGAAGCGUGCUUGACUGUGAGACAGACAAGUCGAACAGGGACGAAAGUCGGGAAUAGUGAUCCGGCGGUGCCGAAUGGAAGGGCCGUCGCUCAACGGAUAAAAGCUACCCUGGGGAUAACAGGCUGAUCUCGCCCAAGAGUUCACAUCGACGGCGAGGUUUGGCACCUCGAUGUCGGCUCAUCGCAUCCUGGAGCUGGAUUCGGUUCCAAGGGUUGGGCUGUCCGCCCAUUAAAGCGGUACGCGAGCUGGGUUCAGAACGUCGUGAGACAGUUCGGUCCCUAUCUGUUGUGGGCGAAGGAGAUCUGCGGAGAGCUGUCCUCAGUACGAGAGGACCGGGAUGGACCUACCGCUGGUGCACCGGUUGUUCCGCCAGGGGCAUAGCCGGGUAGCUAAGUAGGGAAAGGAUAAGCGCUGAAAGCAUCUAAGCACGAAGCCUACUCCAAGAUGAGAUCUCCCAUUCGCAAGAAGUAAGACCCCUUAAAGACGAUAAGGUAGAUAGGCCAGGGAUGGAAGUGCAGUGAUGUACGGAGUUGACUGGUACUAAUCGGUCGAGGACUUAAUCAG
Molecule: ribosomal RNA, 986 nt
Filed under: human gut metagenome
Description: bacterial LSU rRNA
Rfam family: Bacterial large subunit ribosomal RNA
Source: RNAcentral